GUGGGGAAUAUUGGACAAUGGGCGAAAGCCUGAUCCAGCAAUGCCGCGUGAGUGAUGAAGGCCUUAGGGUUGUAAAGCUCUUUUACCAGGGAUGAUAAUGACAGUACCUGGAGAAUAAGCUCCGGCUAACUCCGUGCCAGCAGCCGCGGUAAUACGGAGGGAGCUAGCGUUGUUCGGAAUUACUGGGCGUAAAGCGCGCGUAGGCGGCUCAGCAAGUCAGGGGUGAAAUCCCGGGGCUCAACCCCGGAACUGCCUUUGAAACUGCUAGGCUAGAAUCCUGGAGAGGCGAGUGGAAUUCCGAGUGUAGAGGUGAAAUUCGUAGAUAUUCGGAAGAACACCAGUGGCGAAGGCGACUCGCUGGACAGGUAUUGACGCUGAGGUGCGAAAGCGUGGGGAGCAAACAGGAUUAGAAACCCUGGUAGUCC
This 425-nucleotide ribosomal RNA is filed under the name uncultured bacterium. RNAcentral describes it as "partial 16S ribosomal RNA". It matches the Rfam family "Bacterial small subunit ribosomal RNA", at positions 354 to 796 of the family's 1533-position model. The record is from RNAcentral.